AAGUUUAUCAGCUGCUGAGAUACCAUAGUAAAUAAGGUAGUUUUCCCAGAGCAAGCUUCAUUCAUCAUACUUGUGAUAUAGUGACCUCUGCAGUUUCUGCAAAGUUGGAAAACUGGAUUGUAUGAUUUAUGGCAGUGGAUAAUUAUGUUCAUAUGAACUUUCC
This is a small nuclear RNA of Grammomys surdaster, 163 nucleotides long. RefSeq annotates it as U1 spliceosomal RNA. The transcript has a single exon. NCBI's taxonomy places the organism in Eukaryota, Metazoa, Chordata, Mammalia, Rodentia, Muridae. The record is from RefSeq and is a predicted model, not a curated record.